UCUUCUCUGCAGGAAGAAUGUUUCCUGAACCUAGAGGCUCCUAUAUCAAGAGUAUGUGGGUAUGACACACCGUUUCCUCAUAUUUUCGAACCAUUCUACAUCCCAGACAAAUGGAAAUGCUAUGAUGCCCUUCGAAAAAUGAUCAACUACUGAUCAUAUUGAAAAACUGGAAGAUUGUGACUAGACACGGAAAUAUUUUUCUGAAAAUUCUUUUUAUUUCCUCAUACUUCUCUCUUCUUGAAAAUAGAGUUUUUACGAACUGAACCACCAUGGAUAUUGGCUGAAAAUUUUUAAUUAGUUAUUGUAUUAACACAUAUGAAUUGAUGAUUUCCAUUAAGAGUGUCUGAAUAACUUUUUAAAAUGCUUCACUUGGUAGUCUUAUAAAUUCCAUUUAAUUACAUCUGUAAAUAUUGGGCAUGGGGCAGUAUUCAAUAAAGCAAAAUCAGAUUGUCCUCA
Leptonychotes weddellii (Weddell seal) is the source of this 456-nucleotide non-coding RNA. The record is from RefSeq and is a predicted model, not a curated record. NCBI's taxonomy places the organism in Eukaryota, Metazoa, Chordata, Mammalia, Carnivora, Phocidae.